This 853-nucleotide ribosomal RNA is filed under the name Usnea subcornuta. Its description in RNAcentral is "eukaryotic LSU rRNA". It matches the Rfam family "Eukaryotic large subunit ribosomal RNA", at positions 22 to 891 of the family's 3401-position model. Lineage: Eukaryota; Fungi; Ascomycota; Lecanoromycetes; Lecanorales; Parmeliaceae. The record is from RNAcentral.
UACCCGYUGGAACUUAAGCAUAUCAAUAAGCGGAGGAAAAGAAACCAACAGGGAUUGCCUCAGUAACGGCGAGUGAAGCGGCAACAGCUCAAAUUUGAAAUCUGGCCCCGUUGGGGUCCGAGUUGUAAUUUGUAGAGAGUGUUUCGGGUGAGACCACGGUCUAAGUCUAUUGGAACAUGGCGUCAUAGAGGGUGAGAAUCCCGUAUGUGACCGUGGCUCGAGCCCAUGUGAAGCCUCUUCGACGAGUCGAGUUGUUUGGGAAUGCAGCUCAAAAUGGGUGGUAAAUUUCAUCUAAAGCUAAAUACUGGCUGGAGACCGAUAGCGCACAAGUAGAGUGAUCGAAAGAUGAAAAGCACUUUGGAAAGAGAGUCAAAAAGUACGUGAAAUUGUUGAAAGGGAAGCGCUUGCAACCAGACCUGUCCGUAGGUGAUCAGCCGCUGUUCUCAGCGGUGCACUCGCUCUGCGAUCAGGCCAGCAUCGGUUUCGGCGGUCGGAUAAAGGCCUUGGGAAUGUAGCUUCCUUCGGGGAGUCUUAUAGCCCUCGGUGCAAUGCGGCCAGCCGGGACCGAGGACCGCGCUUCGGCUAGGAUGCUGGCGUAAUGGUUGUAAGCGACCCGUCUUGAAACACGGACCAAGGAGUCUAACAUCUAUGCGAGUGUUUGGGUGUUAAACCCAUGCGCGGAAUGAAAGUGAACGGAGGUGAGACCCCUUUAGGGCGCAUCAUCGACCGAUCCAGAUGUCUUCGGAUGGAUUUGAGUAUGAGCAUAGCUGUUGGGACCCGAAAGAUGGUGAACUAUGCCUGAAUAGGGUGAAGCCAGAGGAAACUCUGGUGGAGGCUCGCAGCGGUUCUGACG